GUUGUUGGGUAGGGGAGCGUUCUGUAAGCCGUUGAAGGUGUGCUGUGAGGCAUGCUGGAGGUAUCAGAAGUGCGAAUGCUGACAUAAGUAACGAUAAAGCGGGUGAAAAGCCCGCUCGCCGGAAGACCAAGGGUUCCUGUCCAACGUUAAUCGGGGCAGGGUGAGUCGACCCCUAAGGCGAGGCCGAAAGGCGUAGUCGAUGGGAAACAGGUUAAUAUUCCUGUACUUGGUGUUACUGCGAAGGGGGGACGGAGAAGGCUAUGUCAGCCGGGCGACGGUUGUCCCGGUUUAAGCAUGUAGGCGGAGGUUCCAGGUAAAUCCGGUACCUUAUUAACGCUGAGGUGUGAUGACGAGGCACUACGGUGCUGAAGUGAUAAAUGCCCUGCUUCCAGGAAAAGCCUCUAAGCAUCAGGUAACACGAAAUCGUACCCCAAACCGACACAGGUGGUCAGGUAGAGAAUACCAAGGCGCUUGAGAGAACUCGGGUGAAGGAACUAGGCAAAAUGGUGCCGUAACUUCGGGAGAAGGCACGCUGAUGUGUAGGUGAAG
Molecule: ribosomal RNA, 549 nt
Filed under: Enterobacter hormaechei
Lineage: Bacteria; Pseudomonadati; Pseudomonadota; Gammaproteobacteria; Enterobacterales; Enterobacteriaceae
Also listed under: 3 other names
Description: partial 23S ribosomal RNA
Rfam family: Bacterial large subunit ribosomal RNA
Source: RNAcentral